UCCUUGCUGCACGUUUUAGGGGCCUUCGGACGGGGGUAAAAACCCUAUCCCAUGCUGUUCAACCCUUUGUCUUUUGCGUACUGUAUGUUUCCUCGGCGGGUUCGCCCGCCGAUAGGACAUUUCAAAACCUUUUGUAAUUGCAAUCAGCGUCAGAAAAACUAUAAUAGUUACAACUUUCAACAACGGAUCUCUUGGUUCUGGCAUCGAUGAAGAACGCAGCGAAAUGCGAAAAGUAGUGUGAAUUGCAGAAUUCAGUGAAUCAUCGAAUCUUUGAACGCACAUUGCGCCCCUUGGUAUUCCAUGGGGCAUGCCUGUUCGAGCGUCAUUUGUACCCUCAAGCUCUGCUUGGUGUUGGGUGUUUGUCCCGCCUUCGCGCGUGGACUCGCCUUAAAGUGAUUGGCAGCCGGAAUAAUUCUGGGGAACGCAGCACAACUGCAGCCUCCAUUUUACGCCGAGCGUCCAGUAAGCCUUUUUUUCACGUUUGACCUCGGAUCAGGUAGGGAUACCCGCUGAACUUAAGCAUAUCAAUAAGCCGGAGGAAAUCAUUAUCAAUUUUAAGUCCUGGGAUGGGGGUAAAAAACCUAUCCAUGCUGUUUCAACCUUUGUCUUUUGCGUACUGUAUGUUUCCUCGGCGGGUUUGCCGCGAUAGGAAAUUUCAAACCUUUGGUAAUUGCAUCCGCGCCAAAAACAAUAAAAGUUCAAUUUUAACCGGAUUUUGGGUUCGGGCUCC
RNAcentral lists this ribosomal RNA (730 nucleotides) under fungal endophyte. RNAcentral describes it as "eukaryotic LSU rRNA". The stretch from base 172 to 325 matches the Rfam family "5.8S ribosomal RNA". The record is from RNAcentral. Lineage: Eukaryota; Fungi.